Molecule: ribosomal RNA, 465 nt
Filed under: Vreelandella stevensii
Lineage: Bacteria; Pseudomonadati; Pseudomonadota; Gammaproteobacteria; Oceanospirillales; Halomonadaceae
Description: partial 16S ribosomal RNA
Rfam family: Bacterial small subunit ribosomal RNA
Source: RNAcentral
CCUACGGGCGGCAGCAGUGGGGAAUAUUGGACAAUGGGGGCAACCCUGAUCCAGCCAUGCCGCGUGUGUGAAGAAGGCCCUCGGGUUGUAAAGCACUUUCAGUGAGGAAGAACGCCUGGUGGUUAAUACCCAUCAGGAAAGACAUCACUCACAGAAGAAGCACCGGCUAACUCCGUGCCAGCAGCCGCGGUAAUACGGAGGGUGCGAGCGUUAAUCGGAAUUACUGGGCGUAAAGCGCGCGUAGGUGGCUUGAUAAGCCGGUUGUGAAAGCCCCGGGCUCAACCUGGGAACGGCAGCCGGAACUGUCAAGCUAGAGUGCAGGAGAGGAAGGUAGAAUUCCCGGUGUAGCGGUGAAAUGCGUAGAGAUCGGGAGGAAUACCAGUGGCGAAGGCGGCCUUCUGGACUGACACUGACACUGAGGUGCGAAAGCGUGGGUAGCAAACAGGAUUAGAUACCCGGGUAGUC